RNAcentral lists this ribosomal RNA (168 nucleotides) under Ecsenius lineatus (linear blenny). RNAcentral describes it as "partial 12S rRNA". Lineage: Eukaryota; Metazoa; Chordata; Actinopteri; Blenniiformes; Blenniidae. The record is from RNAcentral.
CACCGCGGUUAUACGAGAGGCCCAAGCUGACAGACCCUCGGCGUAAAGCGUGGUUAAUAAUCAGUCAAAUUAAAGCCGAAUUCUUCCUAAGCUGUUAUACGUUCUCGGAAGAUAGAAGCCCUACUACGAAAGUGGCUUUAAAAAUUUGAACCCACGAAAGCUAAGAUA